GAUCAGCCGACGGAGAUACGCAGGGACGC
This 29-nucleotide small RNA is filed under the name Bombyx mori (domestic silkworm). Its description in RNAcentral is "ovarian small RNA-16096". Lineage: Eukaryota; Metazoa; Arthropoda; Insecta; Lepidoptera; Bombycidae. The record is from RNAcentral.